Molecule: ribosomal RNA, 293 nt
Filed under: uncultured bacterium
Lineage: Bacteria
Description: partial 16S ribosomal RNA
Rfam family: Archaeal small subunit ribosomal RNA
Source: RNAcentral
GUGCCAGCCGCCGCGGUAAUACCGGCAGCUCGAGUGAUGUCCCAUAUUAUUGGGCCUAAAGCGUCCGUAGCUGGCCAACCAAGUCCAUCGGGAAAUCCACCUGCCCAACGGGUGGGCGUCCGGUGGAAACUGGCUGACUUGGAACCGGAAGGCUCAGAGAGUACGUCCGGGGUAGGAGUGAAAUCCCAUAAUCCCGCACGGACCAUCGAUGGCGAAAGCACUUCGAGAAAACGGAUCCGACAGUGAGGGACGAAAGCCAGGGUCUCCAACCGGAUUAGAUACCCGGGUAGUCC